UCCCGAUUGGUGUAGUGGUCAACAUUUCGGAUUCUCACUGGUCUUACACCAGAGCACUUCCGGAGCCAGGGGUUCGAUUCCCCUAUCGGGAA
Molecule: non-coding RNA, 92 nt
Organism: Coniochaeta pulveracea
Lineage: Eukaryota; Fungi; Ascomycota; Sordariomycetes; Coniochaetales; Coniochaetaceae
Source: the annotation of a GenBank genome assembly